This 1855-nucleotide long non-coding RNA is filed under the name Salmo salar (Atlantic salmon). RNAcentral's name for it is "lncRNA (ENSSSAG00000118049.1)". Lineage: Eukaryota; Metazoa; Chordata; Actinopteri; Salmoniformes; Salmonidae. The record is from RNAcentral.
GGGGAUCCAUAAUAAACCCCAGGAAGAGUAGCUGCUGCCUUGGCAGGAACUAAUGGGGAUCCAUAAUAAACCCCAGGAAGAGUAGCUGCUGCCUUGGCAGGAACUAAUGGGGAUCCAUAAUAAACCCCAGGAAGAGUAGCUGCUGCCUUGACAGGAACUAAUGGGGAUCCAUAAUAAACCCCAGGAAGAGUAGCUGCUGCCUUGGCAGGAACUAAUGGGGAUCCAUAAUAAACCCCAGGAAGAGUAGCUGCUGCCUUGACAGGAACUAAUGGGGAUCCAUAAUAAACCCCAGGGAGAGUAGCUGCUGCCUUGGCAGGAACUAAUGGGGAUCCAUAAUAAACCCCAGGAAGAGUAGCUGCUGCCUUGACAGGAACUAAUGGGGAUCCAUAAUAAACCCCAGGAAGAGUAGCUGCUGCCUUGGCAGGAACUAAUGGGGAUCCAUAAUAAACCACAGGAAGAGUAGCUGCUGCCUUGGCAACAGGAACUAAUGGGGAUCCAUAAUAAACCCCAGGAAGAGUAGCUGCUGCCUUGGCAACAGGAACUAAUGGGGAUCCAUAAUAAACCCCAGGAAGAGUAGCCUUCUAUUAUAAAGGCUGUCAUGGUAACAAGCGUUCUAUUAUAAAGGCUGUCAUGGUAACAAGCGUUCUAUUAUAAAGGCUGUCAUGGUAACAAGCGUUCUAUUAUAAAGGCUGUCAUGGUAACAAGCGUUCUAUUAUAAAGGCUGUCGUGGUAACAAGCGUUCUAUUAUAAAGGCUGUCGUGGUAACAAGCGUUCUAUUAUAAAGGCUGUCAUGGUAACAAGCAUUCUAUUAUAAAGGCUGUCAUGGUAACAAGCGUUCUAUUAUAAAGGCUGUCAUGGUAACAAGCGUUCUAUUAUAAAGGCUGUCGUGGUAACAAGCGUUCUAUUAUAAAGGCUGUCGUGGUAACAAGCGUUCUAUUAUAAAGGCUGUCGUGGUAACAAGCGUUCUAUUAUAAAGGCUGUCAUGGUAACAAGCGUUCUAUUAUAAAAGCUGUCAUGGUAACAAGCAUUCUAUUAUAAAGGCUGUCAUGGUAACAAGCGUUCUAUUAUAAAGGCUGUCAUGGUAACAAGCGUUCUAUUAUAAAUGCUGUCAUGGUAACAAGCGUUCUAUUAUAAAUGCUGUCAUGGUAACAAGCGUUCUAUUAUAAAGCUGUCAUGGUAACAAGCAUUCUAUUAUUAAGGCUGUCAUGGUAACAAGCAUUCUAUUAUAAAGGCUGUCAUGGUAACAAGCGUUCUAUUAUAAAGGCUGUCAUGGUAACAAGCGUUCUAUUAUAAAGGCUGUCAUGGUAACUGCAAUAUUAGUGGAUUGUUUUUUUCUCAAGACUUGAGUGUCAUUUGCAGUAAAGUCCAGGAAACAAAUAACAUUGGAUUGUUUUCGUUAUUCACAAUUCCGAUGAACAAAUAAGGUUUUACAUGUAAGAUGGUUAAAUAAAGAGCAAAAUAAUUGAUCAUUAUUAUAUUAUUAUUUGUGCCCUGGUCCUAUAAGAACUCUUUGUCACUUCCCACGAGCCGGAUUGUGACAAAACCUCACACUCAUUCUUAUGUUUAAUAAAUGUAUCGUAUAGUGUGUGUGUGGCAGACUUACAAUGACGGCAACAACAACAUUUGAGAGUGCCCUGAUCCUGGUGCUAGAGGGGGUACAGCUGGAGGGUGAAUGUUUGAAGGGGUACAGCUGGAGGGUGAAUGUUUGAAGGGGUACAGCUGGAGGGUGAAUGUUUGAAGGGGUACAGCUGGAGGGUGAAUGUUUGAAGGGGUACAGCUGGAGGGUGAAUGUUUGAAGGGGUACAGCCGGAGGUUGAAUGUUUGAAGGGGUACAGCUGGAGGUUGAAUGUUUGAA